GGGGGUAUAUCCCAGUGGUACAGCAAGUGCUUAGCAUGCACAAGGUCCUGGGUUCAAGCCCCAGUACCUCCA
This 72-nucleotide transfer RNA is filed under the name Camelus ferus (Wild Bactrian camel). It matches the Rfam family "tRNA". Rfam says of the family: Transfer RNA (tRNA) molecules are approximately 80 nucleotides in length. Lineage: Eukaryota; Metazoa; Chordata; Mammalia; Artiodactyla; Camelidae. The record is from Rfam by way of RNAcentral.